CCCUUAGAUGUUCUGGGCCGCACGCGCGCUACAAUGAUGAAUUCAACGAGUUUAUAACCUUGGUUGAAAAGCCUUGGUAAUCUUUUGAACUUUCGUCGUGAUGGGGCUAGACCCUUGCAAUUAUUGGUCUCCAACGAGGAAUUCCUAGUAAACGCAAGUCAUCAGCUUGCAUUGAUUACGUCCCUGCCCUUUGUACACACCGCCCGUCGCACCUACCGAUUGAAUGGUCCGGUGAAAUCUUCGGAUUGAGACUUUGAUUUCUUCACGGAAAACGCUGUUUUAAAAAGUUGAUUAAACCUUACCAUUUAGAGGAAGGUGAAGUCGUAACA
Molecule: ribosomal RNA, 329 nt
Filed under: uncultured eukaryote
Lineage: Eukaryota
Description: partial 18S ribosomal RNA
Rfam family: Eukaryotic small subunit ribosomal RNA
Source: RNAcentral